RNAcentral lists this ribosomal RNA (253 nucleotides) under uncultured bacterium. Its description in RNAcentral is "partial 16S ribosomal RNA". It matches the Rfam family "Bacterial small subunit ribosomal RNA", at positions 524 to 776 of the family's 1533-position model. The record is from RNAcentral.
UACGGAGGGAGCUAGCGUUGUUCGGAAUUACUGGGCGUAAAGCGCACGUAGGCGGUUCGUUAAGUCGGAUGUGAAAGCCCUCGGCUCAACUGAGGAAGUGCACCCGAAACUGGCGAGCUUGAGUACGAAAGAGGAUCGCGGAAUUCCCGGUGUAGGGGUGAAAUUCGUAGAUAUCGGGAGGAACACCGGUGGCGAAGGCGGCGAUCUGGGUCGAUACUGACGCUGAGGUGCGAAAGCGUGGGGAGCAAACAGG